Molecule: long non-coding RNA, 395 nt
Organism: Daucus carota subsp. sativus
Lineage: Eukaryota; Viridiplantae; Streptophyta; Magnoliopsida; Apiales; Apiaceae
Exons: 3
Source: RefSeq, a predicted model, not a curated record
GAGAAAUCAGAGUGUUAACUUGGAAAGAAGGAACGAUUAAUUGUACCAAAAUUUAAGAAUAUAAUGUCUGGAAAAGCGGAGCCAAUUUAUAAGUAUUAAAUUUGGAAAUAUUUCAAGCUAAGGACACCAGUAAAUAGUGAGUAUGGCACAACUCAAGGGAACCGCCUGGAAAUGGGUUUUUGACAAAAGCAGGGAAAAGGCGCAUCACCCAAGCUGAGACUGCUAGACUACGCCACUUGGUAGUACGAUCUAUAGUUAUUAUAAUAGUCUGAUAUCAGACUUCCCUUUAUGUAAUAAAGUUAGACUCGAUAGUAAUGUUGUAAGACGAUCGACCCUGGACUUGUGGGGAAAGAGUUGGUUGUAUUAUAUUAAUAUGUAAUACAAGUGUUGUUUUG